UCCGCUCCAGGUUAGUCGGGAGCUAAGGUGAGGCCUAACGGCGUAGCCGAUGCACAGACGGUAGAGAUUCCGUCACCACCAAAAGAGUUAAACACAGGGACACAUUUGAAGUCUCGGAGCCGGGUGUUGGUUCCGGUAGCGAUCGAGGGAAAUUAGUACCGAAGUCCGGGAUGGAAGAUGGCGAGAAAAGCUGUGUGUAUUUCUGCGGUGCCCGUACCGCAAACCGACACAGGUAGGUAGGAAGAAGAUUCUAAGGCCAACGGGAGAAGGGUUGUUAAGGAACUCGGCAAAUUGACCCCGUAACUUCGGGAGAAGGGGUGCUCCAGAGAUGGAGCCGCAGAGAAUCGGCCCAAGCAACUGUUUACCAAAAACACAGGUUUGUGCUAAAUCGAAAGAUGACGUAUACGAGCUGACGCCUGCCCGGUGCUGGAAGGUUAAGAGGAGAUGUGCAAGCAUUGAAUCGAAGCCCCAGUGAACGGCGGCCGUAACUAUAACGGUCCUAAGGUAGCGAAAUUCCUUGUCAGGUAAGUUCUGACCCGCAUGAAAGGCGUAAUGAUUUGGGCACUGUCUCGACAGCCCGCCCGGCGAAAUUGUAGUACCGGUGAAGAUGCCGGUUACCCGCGACAAGACGGAAAGACCCCAUGGAGCUUUACUGUAGCCUAAUAUUGGGUUUCGAUGUUGCAUGCACAGGAUAGAUGGGACACUGGGAAGCAAGUGCUUUGGCAUUUGUGGAGUGGCCGUUGGGAUACCAUCCUUGCGAUAUUGGAAUUCUAACCUGCGCCUUUGAAUCAAGGCGGGGGACAUUGUUAGGUGGGCAGUUUGACUGGGGCGGUCGCCUCCUAAGGAGUAACGGAGGCGUUCAAAGGUUCGCUCAGCUUGAACGGAAAUCAAGCAAAAGAGUGCAAACGCAGAAGCGAGCCUAACUGCGAGACUGACGGGUCGAGCAGUAACGAAAGUUGGAGUUAGUGAUCCGGUGGUAUGUGAGUGGAAAUGCCAUCGCUCAACGGAUAAAAGUUACCCUGGGGAUAACAGGCUGAUCUCCCCCAAGAGUCCACAUCGACGGGGAGGUUUGGCACCUCGAUGUCGGCUCAUCGCAUCCUGGGGCUGUAUUCGGUCCCAAGGGUUUGGCUGUUCGCCAAUUAAAGCGGUACGCGAGCUGGGUUCAGAACGUCGUGAGACAGUUCGGUCCCUAUCUGUCGUGGGCGCAGGAUAUUUGAUGGGAGCUGUUCCUAGUACGAGAGGACCGGAGCGGACGUACCUCUGGCGCACCAGUUGUUCUGCCAAGGGCAUAGCUGGGCAACUAUGUACGGAUCGGAUAAACGCUGAAAGCAUCUAAGCGUGAAGCCGACCCAAAGAUAAGAUAUCCCAUUGUUUCAAACAAGUAAGACCCCUUGAAGACUACAAGGUUGAUAGGCAUGAUGUGUAAGUGGAGUGAUCCAUUCAGCAAGCGUGUACUAAUAGGUCGAGGGCUUGACCG
RNAcentral lists this ribosomal RNA (1477 nucleotides) under metagenome. RNAcentral's name for it is "bacterial LSU rRNA". It matches the Rfam family "Bacterial large subunit ribosomal RNA", at positions 1369 to 2925 of the family's 2925-position model. The record is from RNAcentral.